Molecule: long non-coding RNA, 343 nt
Filed under: Nicotiana benthamiana
Lineage: Eukaryota; Viridiplantae; Streptophyta; Magnoliopsida; Solanales; Solanaceae
Description: long non-coding RNA (NBEN_LNC027496)
Source: RNAcentral
AUCAAACCCAAAAGGCGACAAUGACUGCAAAGAUUGCCGGGUCUCACUCUUAUACCGAAAAAUAUUGCAAUUGGGUCUACUAAUCUGCAAAUUUCUUGAAUUUAAAACCGAAGACUUCUCGGGGGUAACAGGAGGCACGACCGACCCGCAAUCGGAUCCGAAUAAAGCUGAACGAAGCAACCGACGACUUCUCGGGGGUAACAGGAGGCACAACCGACCCGCAAUCGGAUCCGAAUAAAGCUGAACGAAGCAGUGAGGUAUAUGCAUUGCUGGAAUCUUCAGAGGAAGAGGAAUGUGGGGGUAAAGGGAGGUCAAAAAGGGCAAAAUUGGACGAAGAUCUACU